Molecule: ribosomal RNA, 484 nt
Filed under: uncultured bacterium
Lineage: Bacteria
Description: partial 16S ribosomal RNA
Rfam family: Bacterial small subunit ribosomal RNA
Source: RNAcentral
AUUGAACGCUGGCGGCAGGCCUAACACAUGCAAGUCGAGCGGAUGAAGGGAGCUUGCUCCUGGAUUCAGCGGCGGACGGGUGAGUAAUGCCUAGGAAUCUGCCUGGUAGUGGGGGCUAACGUCCGGAAACGGGCGCUAAUACCGCAUACGUCCUGAGGGAGAAAGUGGGGGAUCUUCGGACCUCACGCUAUCAGAUGAGCCUAGGUCGGAUUAGCUAGUUGGUGGGGUAAAGGCCUACCAAGGCGACGAUCCGUAACUGGUCUGAGAGGAUGAUCAGUCACACUGGGACUGAGACACGGUCCAGACUCCUACGGGAGGCAGCAGUGGGGAAUAUUGGACAAUGGGCGAAAGCCUGAUCCAGCCAUGCCGCGUGUGUGAAGAAGGUCUUCGGAUUGUAAAGCACUUUAAGUUGGGAGGAAGGGCAGUAAGUUAAUACCUUGCUGUUUUGACGUUACCAACAGAAUAAGCACCGGCUAACUUCGUG